Molecule: ribosomal RNA, 775 nt
Filed under: uncultured Neocallimastigales
Lineage: Eukaryota; Fungi; Neocallimastigomycota; Neocallimastigomycetes; Neocallimastigales
Description: partial large subunit ribosomal RNA
Rfam family: Eukaryotic large subunit ribosomal RNA
Source: RNAcentral
CACGCAUGACACACUGCAUAUCAAUAAGCGGAGGAAAAGAAACUAACAAGGAUUCCCUUAGUAACGGCGAGUGAAGCGGGAAGAGCUCAAAUUUGAAAUCUUCAAGGUUUUACCUUGACGAAUUGUAGUUUAAAGAAGUGUUUUCUGUUAGAGAGGUUGGUAAAAGUUCUUUGGAAUAGGACAUCAUAGAGGGUGAGAAUCCCGUAUUUGACCAUUAUUUUCAGCUGUGUGAUACACUUUCAAAGAGUCGGAUUGUUUGGGAAUGCAGUCCAAAAUGGGUGGUAAAUUUCAUCUAAAGCUAAAUAUUGGCGAGAGACCGAUAGCGAACAAGUACCGUGAGGGAAAGAUGAAAAGAACUUUGAAAAGAGAGUUAAACAGUACGUGAAAUUGUCAAAAGGGAAGCGUUUGACACCAGUGUUGUUUUUCCGAAAAUCAAUUACGAAUGUUUUAUUUUUGAGGAAGUUAUGACUUCAUCGGCUUGCUCUCUUCUUUAUGAAACUUUCUUAAUGCACUUUUCGGUUAACAAGUCAACAUCAAUUUCUUUUGUUGUAAGAGGGUAUGAGGAAGGUGGCUUUCUUUUCGGAGAAAGUGUUUAUAGCCUUGUACCUCUGCAAUCGGAGAGAUUGAGGUCUGCAGCGUAGAUCCUUCGGGGUUAGAUACAUUUGUGCUAAGUUAUAGCUUUUCAUAGACAACUUGUUGACUAUGUUUAGUCUUGUAGCUUACUCACUUAUGCUAUUUUACCUACGCUUAGGAUGUUGACUGAUAUGUAGUCGUA